RNAcentral lists this ribosomal RNA (300 nucleotides) under Triticum aestivum (bread wheat). RNAcentral's name for it is "partial small subunit ribosomal RNA". Lineage: Eukaryota; Viridiplantae; Streptophyta; Magnoliopsida; Poales; Poaceae. The record is from RNAcentral.
AUGAUAGUGGAUUGGCCUGAGCAUGCUAGCAUCGCACAUGUUGCACCGCAGGAUGAUGGUGUAUUGCUGGAAUCAAGCCGGAGUGGGAACCAGAUCUCGGGUCCAUCUUUGCUGCACCGGGAUGGCGGACAGUUUCUGAAGAAAUCUUGGUCAUCCCAAGCUGCUGAAGCUGUGGUCAUGUCGGUUCCAUGGCUGACAAGGCAGACCACCAGGGCUGUGACAAGGAAUAUACUCAUCUUUCUGCUUCUGCACUACGAGAUGGAUGAAGGUAAGCCAGGUAUUGUAAUUACAAAGACAUAA